This is a long non-coding RNA of Onychostoma macrolepis, 1035 nucleotides long. RefSeq lists it as uncharacterized. NCBI's taxonomy places the organism in Eukaryota, Metazoa, Chordata, Actinopteri, Cypriniformes, Cyprinidae. The transcript has 3 exons. The record is from RefSeq and is a predicted model, not a curated record.
UGUAUUUACACACUGUUUAAUGCAGCUCAGAGGGACAUGAAUGCAAGAUGCAAAACAGAUGCAAAACAGUGCCGUGGCUGUGUUUGGAAUGAUUUUUGCUGGCGAAAUAGAGCAAAAGCAGUAAAUAUGGUGUCUAAAAAGUAAGUCUCUUAAUAUUAACUUCUUGUUUAUUGAACUGUCCCAGCAAACAAUGACCUGGCGGUCCACCAGCGGUUUUUGGGCAGCACAAAUUCAGCGGCUUAAUACGGUCGGACCACCAUCGGCACACCAUCGGCGAGCCGACCAAUCUAAAAACGUUUUGAUGGACGCGUGCUCCGAGUCGCAUUCAAACACUGCAGCGAGGGAGUUACCAUGGAAACGGGGCAGCAACUCUCCAACUGACAGCUGCAACACUGCGUCUCUCGCUGCUGUUUUCACCGUUUUCAGGAGUAACACUUCUACAACAGAAGAGAAGCUCCAAGAUAUCUAAAUUUCUGAAGGAAGCUGCUGACAGAGAUGUGGGAGACAUAGUUCAUCACAGGAGAGGAGUUCCAGGCAGGAGAAACAGACAGGUAGGCAUCAACCAGCGUUAUGGGAGCUUGCAACCUUGAGACCAGCCGAUGAGUGACUGAGGUGAGUGUGCUUAUGAAUGGUGGUGGUAAGUGGUUGCAGGUGUGCGUGAUUAGUACUCUGGUGAUUGUGAACGGGUGUAGGAGGCUGCUUCAGCUGGUGAUGCGGGUGAUUCCGUGACAGGUUUAGGGUUAGUAGAAUAAGUUGACGUAUACUUGUAAAGUUUCUCAUAGUCAGUAUGUUGUAUGUUGUGGACCCAUCAAAAUAAAGUGUUAGAAGUUAUUAAGCAGACAGUCUACUAAUACUCUAAUGACUGCUAGUUGACGUGUAGUUGCGAAGUUACUUACUGUUAGUAGAAUGUCUAAAGUGGACUAUCGAAAUAAAGUGUUACCAAAUAUUUAAGUUUAUUGCUUGUGCUUAGUUGACAAGACAUAUUAAGUCUGCACAAAUAUAAUAUUUAAAAAAUAUUAAAUGAAUGGGAAAAGA